AUUACAACAAUGUAAACGAACGGUUCCGGUUCGACAGAUUCGGUUCGUUCGUGUAAAUUGCAGUUUUGGACGCCUUAACGAUCACCAAAUUGGCUGAAAUUUUGCAGAGGUGAUCCAUACAUUAGGACCUAAAAACUGAACGGUUAAGAUGUGAAAAUGUGAUCGGAAAGUGGGUGAAAACAGUAAAUCCGUUCCAUAAGAAAAACUAAGGACAUCCUUACCUGAGAAAAAUCCUAUAUAUAUAUAUAUAUAUAUAUAUAUAUACAUGAAUAUGGAUAAGAUUUAUCCAAAACCUAAACUCUUGGCUAACAUUAAUGUCUUAUUUAAAUGUAUAGUCAAUUGGAGGAAGUACAAUUUACUCUUAGGUGCGUUAACAUUUUGCUUUGGAAAUAUGCAACUAAUCAUUACAACCCUUACCCACAAUAUUCAAACCAUACAGGAUGUAGAAACAUAGUCCACAAAGCUGUGAUAUACACAUAAUCAAAUAGGAUGUAGAUUGAUGGAGAUGCCGGCUUAAUGUAGGUUGAAAUGUGCUUAGAUAUGGUACGAGGUUAGCCAAGGAUUAAAGCCGAAAGUUGUCUUCCUUUGUCCAUCGAGGCAUGCUGCUUGCUUUUCUGAGAGAAGGCAGCAUUGAACCAUCAACAUCAUCCAUGGAGUACUUCAACAAGGAGAAAACUGACUGAAGUGUAGACAGAACUGGAGGGAGCAACUUUUUGGACAACCUCCACAACUGCCCAUCAUUAGGCUAACAACUUUUCAGCAUACACCUAUUUUUGGCAAGCAGAUCAAACAGUGAUUGUAACUAAGCUAGCUUGCAACUAAAACAACCUAUUUUUUGCAAGCUAAUACAGCAGCAACUGUAACUAUGUUAACUUUAAACUAUGAAAACCUAUUUUUUGAACACUACCACAACAUCUAUAUUAGUGGUAAUGUUAUUAGGGCACAAUCAACAUCUUCUGUUAUAAAUGAUUUGCCAUUAGAAUUUACUUCUCAACUACAUUCUCUAUCCUUCUAAACUUUCA
Rosa rugosa (rugosa rose) is the source of this 1022-nucleotide long non-coding RNA. RefSeq lists it as uncharacterized. The record is from RefSeq and is a predicted model, not a curated record. NCBI's taxonomy places the organism in Eukaryota, Viridiplantae, Streptophyta, Magnoliopsida, Rosales, Rosaceae. The transcript is spliced from 3 exons.